GGGACACGAUCAUCGAGCCGACGUCUGGGAACACCGGGAUCGGGCUGGCCCUGGCUGCGGCCGUGAGGGGCUACCGCUGCAUCAUCGUGAUGCCGGAGAAGAUGAGCUCGGAGAAGGUGGACGUGCUGCGGGCCCUGGGGGCUGAGAUUGUGAGGACGCCCACCAGCGCCAGGUUCGACUCUCCGGAGUCACACGUCGGGUGGCCUGGCGGCUGA
This is a non-coding RNA of Saimiri boliviensis boliviensis (Bolivian squirrel monkey), 215 nucleotides long. The record is from RefSeq and is a predicted model, not a curated record. Lineage: Eukaryota; Metazoa; Chordata; Mammalia; Primates; Cebidae.